GAGAAUGGUUGGCAAUCCUCAGUAACCCAGGCCACACAAGCGUCCAUAGCAGCUUUUUUUCAUCUGGCGUCACAAUUAUUAGCAGCGCCGUCUCCUUAAGCGAUUUGCAACACUUAUGUCGAUUUAAAUUUGAAGAAUUUUUUGGCAAAUAUUUUAAAAUAUUGUUACAGGAUUGGCAGUAUAUAAAUCCAUUCAAAAUAAUGUCAUCCUCUUUAAUAAUUUCAGAUAAUAUGUUCCAAACAUGGCUCCUUCCCUUAUGUCGGGCUGACAAUGUGUAGACGUUUGUAUGUAUUUUUUCUAAAAUAUUUUCUCAAAUACAUACUAAAAUAUUAGUUGUGUACCAAAUUCUUAGUGCAAUGCAUGUGACGCAUAAGCUGAUCGCGAACGAAGCAUACAAAAACAAUAUACAUACCAGAGAACUGCAAAACUCACUUUUUCCUUGAAUCAGCUCAUACGCAAAAGUUUCUAUUCAAAUCCAAUCACUGGAAUAGCACUUGUGGUAUUUACUAUAGUGGCCAUAUAAAGGAGCUCAAAUUUGGUAUGGGAUUCGUGGUGGAAGAGAGACUCCUUCGCCGAGCCCUGUCAUUCACCCUAGUGGAUGAACAUCUAACCACCAUCCGUAUCAAAGCGAAGUUCUUUAACGUAUCGCUGAUUUGAUCGAUCAUGUUGUGAUAGGCGGAAAAAAAGUUUCCACUGUUUUAUAUGUGCUCCGGAUGCUCCGAGGUCCUAACAUCAACUCGGACUACUCCUGUUGCACCCAAAAUACGCACCCGCCUCUGUGCAGCAAAAGACUUAAAUCAACAAACACAUGGAAAGUUCGACGUCGAUUAACUGCAAUCACAACAGAUAGCCGAACGAUUUUCUACUCUACUUGCACUCCUGUUCUUUGACAGAACUCAUCAGAACUAGGUAUAAGGGAACAGUAGGACGGCAUUUCAAGCUUCUUAUGUACAGCUGCAACCGAAACCAUUGGUUUUCGGACAAGGCAAAUGGCGAUGAGGAGUGCCGUGUCGCGAGAAAACAGACUGCUUACAUCACAACAUUACAAUCUACCACUUACGUGCGAGAUGGGAUAGAUACCGAGAGUUGAAAUAAGAAACGGGAUGCAUUUGAGGACAAAAAAUAGAAAUAAAAUAAACCGAAAUGCAUGAGUAGGAAGAGCUUGACAAGCUGGCCGACAAGAGUAAUGCUCGAAAAUUCUACGAUGUGGCGACUAGUAGAGGUUUCAAGACCGGAGCAUACUUUUGUAGAACCCGCAGAGGAAGUCUAGUGACUGAUGCCUAGAGAAAACUUAAAUUAUGGAGGGAACACUUAUCCAGCCUGCUGAAAGACAGUGAAAGAAUAACACCUGAUUCCCCAAUAGAGACGAUGAAGCGAACGUGCCAUUGCCCGACCAUAAACUUGAACCUUUUCAGUGUGGCUUUAGGCAUGGAAAAUAAACAAUCGACCAUUCGCAAAUCUUGGAAAAGACCCCUGAGAAGAGAUUCGAUACACACCCCGUCUUCGUCGAUUUCAAGGCUGCUUUUGACAGCACGAAAAGGAGCCGGCUUUAUGCCGUUAUGUCUGAAUUUGGUAUCUCCGAAAAAUAAAUACGGCUGUGUGAACUGACGUUGUGCUGUAGAAAAGCUCCAUCAGAAUCGGGAAGGACUUCUCCGAGCCGUUUGAUAUCAAAUGAGUUUCCAACAAGGCGGCUGCCUCCCUAGGAAAACUAAUUCGAGCUGAAAAGCUAGAUCGAGAAAAUAUCUCCUGUUAUCAAACAAACAGUCGUCGCACUCGCGAGUUUGCUUCUACGUCAUGAUAGUCGAAGUCGUAGACAAUUUCGUCUAUUUUGGAACCAGUAUUAAACUCAACAACAACAACUUGGAAUCCAAUGCCAACAGGUGCUAUUUCGGACUGAGUAGGCAAAUGAGAAGUAAAGUCUACUCUCGGCGAACAAAGCCUGAACUCUUAAAGUCACUCAUCAUCUCCGUCCUGCUAUAUAGUACAGAGGCCUGGACGAUGACAACAUCCGAUGAGACGACGUUACGACUUUUCUAGAGAAAGGUUCUGCAGAAGAUUUGUGGUCUUUUGCGCAGGGGUGACGGCGAAAAUAACGAGCUGUACAAUUUAUAACGGGUGAUUUUUUUGAGGUUAGGAUUUUCAUGCAUUAGUAUUUGACAGAUCACGUGGGAUUUCAGACAUGGUGUCAAAGAGAAAGAUGCUCAGUAUGCUUUGACAUUUCAUCAUGAAUAGACUUACUAACGAGCAACGCUUGCAAAUCAUUGAAUUUUAUUACCAAAAUCAGUGUUCGGUUCGAAAUGUGUUUCGCGCUUUACGUCCGAUUUAUGGUCUACAUAUCAUUUCUCAUUUCUGGUUGAAUGGCUACGUAAAUAAGCAAAAUUGCCGCAUUUGGGGUGAAGAGCAACCAGAAGCCGUUCAAGAACUGCCCAUGCAUCCCGAAAAAUGCACUGUUUGGUGUGGUUUGUACGCUGGUGGAAUCAUUGGACCGUAUUUUUUCAAAGAUGCUGUUGGACGCAACGUUACGGUGAAUGGCGAUCGCUAUCGUUCGAUGCUAACAAACUUUUUGUUGCCAAAAAUGGAAGAACUGAACUUGGUUGACAUGUGGUUUCAACAAGAUGGCGCUACAUGCCACACAGCUCGCGAUUCUAUGGCCAUUUUGAGGGAAAACUUCGGACAACAAUUCAUCUCAAGAAAUGGACCCGUAAGUUGGCCACCAAGAUCAUGCGAUUUAACGCCUUUAGACUAUUUUUUGUGGGGCUACGUCAAGUCUAAAGUCUACAGAAAUAAGCCAGCAACUAUUCCAGCUUUGGAAGACAACAUUUCCGAAGAAAUUCGGGCUAUUCCGGCCGAAAUGCUCGAAAAAGUUGCCCAAAAUUGGACUUUCCGAAUGGACCACCUAAGACGCAGCCGCGGUCAACAUUUAAAUGAAAUUAUCUUCAAAAAGUAAAUGUCAUGAACCAAUCUAACGUUUCAAAUAAAGAACCGAUGAGAUUUUGCAAAUUUUAUGCGUUUUUUUUUAAAAAAAAGUUAUCAAGCUCUUAAAAAAUCACCCUUUAUUACGACAGUAACAUAGUUCAGCUAGAGGAGGGACAGUCGCUGCGCUGACUAGAUCAUGUUGACCGUGUCUCCACUUCGUUGGAAAGAUCAGGUUGAGAAGAAUCCGACUGCACUGGAUAUCUGGAAUUGGUACUAAAUUCCGAUAACAAGAAACGACUAACGCACUGUUGUUAACUCGGCUAUAACGGGUAGCGGUGUCUACGCCAGUAAAGAAGAAGAAACUGUAAUUAAUUGAAGGAAUUAAGGCCAGGUUCCUCUAAACAAUUUUGAAAAAAAAUUUUUCAUAAAUUGCUACUGUAUACUCGUCGAAAUAGUAUAGAAUUAGUCCCGAAGGUCAGUAAGACCGAGAAGCAGGUAUACAAGAGUGAAGAGCGCUUCGGGAAAUCCGGCCGCUCAAACGCCUUCGGUAGCGGCAGCUACUGCGUGCCUUUGGUUUAAACUGAUUUUUCUCCGAACCUCGUUUUUUCUCAUUUCAAAACUAUUGCACUUAUCGAUAUGAACCAACCAGCAUUUUAUUCUUUAGAUGUCUGGUUAUGGCCUCAAGCAGAACCAGAAAUAUUCAUUAUCAUUGAAAAAAGUUAUAAAGAGUUAAAAGUGAAAAAAGGCUUAAAAAAGUCAAAAGUCCUCCUUUUUUUUUCAUUGAAAAUGUUUCAUUCUGCUUGAAGCCAUAGCUAAUUCGAUACAGAACAUGAAAUCAUUUUGUUUUUUGCUUUCAGAUAAUUCUGUUUCAAGAAAUGAUGUCAACCAUCUACGAAUCAGAUGAGUCUCAGCAGCCAUUUUCAGGACCGCCAUUUUGAAAAAAAAGAAAAAAAAUGUUUUCAAAGGAGCCUGGCCUAAACUAAUAACACAAAGAGCAACUCACAAGCCGAAUGCGUAAAAAAGGGGUACACGAUCACGAUCAGUCUCGGUUUGAAUUGUUAAUUGGGCCUUAAGAAACUCGGAAAUUUUAUAAUAAUGUUUUCCUUCUUGGCUUGAUUGCGCGCAUGUUUUAAUAUUUCAGGAUUUUCAUUACAUCAACUAUUCAUACAUACAGCCGUAAUUCAGAAUAUGUGACGCCACGGUUGCCCAGUAUGUACGCAGUAAUUACCGCUGAAAAUCGUAUCGUCUUUCAGAGGCAUGAGUGUUUGUAUAUCUAUUGCUUAGGCACUGCAGAGUGAACGCUAACCAAAGCCGAGGCCGAAGCUGAUUGGUGCAAACCAGUUUUGAAGUAUUUUUUAACGCCAACUCGCGUGUUGCAUAGUUCAUUUGAAUACUGAUCUUAUAUUUUGCUUACAAGGAAUUACUCUAAAUGUGGUAAUACAAUAUUUAUAAUAUCCCCUAAUAAUAUUUUCAAAGGGAAACUUAUGACAGGAAUUCCCUAAUCCAUUUAAUAAAUACCCGCUAUUACGAUGUUCCAGGCCAAAUUUAUACGUAGAACUCAGCACUGGUUUACUUUA
Molecule: long non-coding RNA, 4493 nt
Organism: Bactrocera dorsalis (oriental fruit fly)
Lineage: Eukaryota; Metazoa; Arthropoda; Insecta; Diptera; Tephritidae
Exons: 3
Source: RefSeq, a predicted model, not a curated record